CUGCCAUGUUAGCAUUCUAGUCACUUUAGUCCUUGCCUGACUACUCUACUGAACUAACCGUAUUAUUCUUUUAGGCCUAAUUUAGUUCUCCAAUGACUUUAUUAUUUCCACAUGUCAGUGCACCAACUGUGAGCAACUCCCAAACGAAUCGGUCUGGAAGUAAUAUGUGUUGCUAGCAUGCUAAAUUGUUAGCGGUUUUGAAGGCCAGUCUGCUGCCGUCCGACUUCAAACUCCUCACAUUUCUGCUUUUCUAAAGUUUUCGUUUCCACCAGACGGUGGCAGCAGAGGACCAGUUCCCAGGAUCCUCAUCUCUCCCGCGCAGCCGCAGAAGCCCUCCCCUGCUGAACGGAUGCUGAGAAUAGACCGAGCAGGAAUGCCUAUAUAUGGACAUGGAGCCUCACAGGUGCAGCCGGCGAAUGUGGAACGUGCCACUUGGGAGUGGAUUUUCCUCCGUGGUCCCCGAUGUAAAAUGAGUUUGGCGCCCCUGGAUUAAGGUGCGAUAAGACAUCAGCACCACGGACAGCGACCAUGCAGGUUCCAGCACCGCGGACAGCAUUUUCCCGCACACUUGUUGACGCUCUCUUACCCGUUGAAGUGAAGAAGACGGACUUCCUGGUGUACAUGCAGGCCAGAGACAUGAUGUGCAGGUACGACAGCCGGGCUUUGUCCGUGUCGGAGAUGGGCAACAAGUCCUUCAGGUUCCGGAUCUCGGCGUUGAUCUGGUCCCGUCGAGCCUUGGACGCUCCCUUGGUGGAGCGAUACAUGCUGGCUUGACGCUGCAGUGCAGGCUGGGAGCUCCCAAGAAAAGAAGAAGCUGGAAAGCCCUCCUCACAGGUGUCUACUGCAGGGAUGUUAUUGCACUUUCAUUGCGCCUCCUUUUCCAGAGAAAUGUAUUUGGUGGAGCUUGUGAGCGUCUGCCCUCCUCUCCUCCCCGGGUGGAGAGCGGCUGAACGGGGCGGCUGUGCUCGCCACGUCUCUCGGCACCGAAGUCCGGAUCCAGCGAGUGUGUUUGAGGGGAGACUCUGCUCGCAGGUCUCUUAUAUAGCCUGGGACCGGGGGGGCCCCCUCGACGCAGCAACGCCGACGUAAGAAGAAGGAGGGAGGAGGAUGAGAGAGAUGUCUCACAUCAGUGGAUGCUGGAGCUCCCGCCUCCAUCCCUCCCUCCCUCUCCUCUCGGUGACUCUGCCCCCGACGUCAGCUCCCUCUCCCCGCUGAUGACGUAGGGAUGGAGUCGGGAGCUCCGGCGACGCAAAAAGCCCGAUUUGGACAAAACCGAGUAAGGGGCGGAGCCAGCGGAUCGACGUAGAUGGAGUCACCGAGCCCGGCGAGGGAGGGGGGGAGGCACUUGAACGUCUCAUUUUGGAGCAGCAAGAGAACAUUGAGCUUCUUCUGGUGGAUGGAGGUCAGCAGUAAAAACACACACAAUGACAAUGAAGGGAUUAUCACCAUCCAGCCGUAAAUCUCCAUUCUGAUGCCACGUCAAAUGAUGAAUGAAUGAACGAAUGAAUGAAUAGGGCGCGCGAAGCAUCCUGCAGCAGACACGUGAGAGAAGCUGCUCUUUCUAAAAAUAGAUCUGCUACCUAUCCAUCUACUGUAUCUGUCUUAACGGCGCCCCCUGCAGCCACCAUCUUGCUAUCCACAUCAUCGAAUAGGAUGCAAAUGCCUUCUCGGGAGAGAAGUAAACACGUGUGAUUUUGUCCACAACUGCGUUAUUGUUAUUAAGUCUGGUUUCUUUCACACAUUUGGAGGCUGUAAUGUUGUUGUUUGAAUUUCUAAGUAUUCUUUCAUUGCCGUUUUGGAAAAUAGUGACCUGGAUCCAUGAGACCAGGAGGCUUCUUCCUUCUCCUUUUCGUUGAAAAGUGUCAAGUCAUUCCAUUCAUUGCCCUGACCCUCAUUGUUUGGGAGGUUGUCCUGUGAGCGUGUGCUGAUGACAUCAGCCUCACCUCUCCACGGUGGAGCGCACAUAGCAGCUGAUGGCAGCAGGACAGCGACAGUGACACAUGCUAAAUCUUUGGACUAAAAGACCUGGGGAAAAGGAAAAGAUCAAAGAUGCUACAGGGUCCACACCCCUGUAUUGGGAAGCCCCUGACUGUUGCAUGCUGGGAAGAGCCUCCAGUUCUCCAAGCAGGACAAGAUUGGGUGAGUGGCGUUUUUUUUUUUUUUUUGUAUUGACGUUUCUUACGAUGA
This is a long non-coding RNA of Nerophis ophidion (straightnose pipefish), 2187 nucleotides long. RefSeq lists it as uncharacterized. The transcript has 8 exons. The record is from RefSeq and is a predicted model, not a curated record. NCBI's taxonomy places the organism in Eukaryota, Metazoa, Chordata, Actinopteri, Syngnathiformes, Syngnathidae.